AUUGACCGCUGGCGGCAUGCCUUACACAUGCAAGUCGAACGGCAGCACGGGAGCAAUCCUGGUGGCGCGUGGCGAACGGGUGAGUAAUGUAUCGGAACGUGCCCGGUCGUGGGGGAUAACGUAGCGAAAGUUACGCUAAUACCGCAUACGAUCUUUGGUUGAAAGCGGGGGAUCGCAAGACCUCGCCCGAUUGGAGCGGCCGAUAUCAGAUUAGGUAGUUGGUGGGGUAAAGGCUCACCCAGCCGACGAUCUGUAGCUGGUCUGAGAGGACGACCAGCCACACUGGGACUGAGACACGGCCCAGACUCCUGCGGGAGGCAGCAGUGGGGAAUUUUGGACAAUGGGCGCAAGCCUGAUCCAGCAAUGCCGCGUGCAGGACGAAGGCCUUCGGGUUGUAAACUGCUUUUGUACGGAACGAAACGGCUCUUUUUAAUACAGAGGGUUAAUGACGGUACCGUAAGAAUAAGCACCGGCUAACUACGUGCCAGCAGCCGCGGUAA
RNAcentral lists this ribosomal RNA (500 nucleotides) under uncultured bacterium. RNAcentral describes it as "partial 16S ribosomal RNA". It matches the Rfam family "Bacterial small subunit ribosomal RNA", at positions 30 to 523 of the family's 1533-position model. The record is from RNAcentral.